Molecule: ribosomal RNA, 58 nt
Filed under: uncultured fungus
Lineage: Eukaryota; Fungi
Description: partial 28S ribosomal RNA
Rfam family: Eukaryotic large subunit ribosomal RNA
Source: RNAcentral
UUGAUCUCAAAUCAAACAAGACUACCCGCUGAACUUAAGCAUAUCAAUAAGCGGAGGA